GACGAACGCUGGCGGCGUGCUUAACACAUGCAAGUCGAGCGGUAAGGCCCUUUCGGGGGUACACGAGCGGCGAACGGGUGAGUAACACGUGGGUGACCUGCCCUCAGCUCUGGGAUAAGCCUGGGAAACCGGGUCUAAUACCGGAUAUGACUCCAUGACGCAUGUUGUGGGGUGGAAAGCCUUGUGCGGCUGAGGAUGGGCCCGCGGCCUAUCAGCUUGUUGGUGGGGUGAUGGCCUACCAAGGCGACGACGGGUAGCCGGCCUGAGAGGGCGACCGGCCACACUGGGACUGAGACACGGCCCAGACUCCUACGGGAGGCAGCAGUGGGGAAUCUUGCGCAAUGGGCGAAAGCCUGACGCAGCGACGCCGCGUGAGGGAUGACGGCU
Molecule: ribosomal RNA, 387 nt
Filed under: uncultured bacterium
Lineage: Bacteria
Description: bacterial SSU rRNA
Rfam family: Bacterial small subunit ribosomal RNA
Source: RNAcentral